This 166-nucleotide unclassified non-coding RNA is filed under the name soil metagenome. Its description in RNAcentral is "partial contains 5.8S ribosomal RNA, internal transcribed spacer 2, and large subunit ribosomal RNA". The record is from RNAcentral.
AACGCACGAGACCUGCGGACCUGCGGAAGGAUCAUUAGUGAACGCCCUCGCGGGCUUAUAACUAUUCCAAACCUCUGUGAACCGUGCCCUUCGGGGCUAUUUUACAAACAUGGUGUAAUGAACGUCAUAUAUCAUAACAAAACAAAACUUUUAGCAACGGAUCUCU